UACAGAGGUCUCAAGCGUUGUUCGGAUUCAUUGGGCGUAAAGGGUGCGUAGGUGGCGGGGUAAGUCAGGUGUGAAAUCUCGAGGCUCAACCUCGAAACUGCACUUGAUACUGCCUUGCUAGAGUACUGGAGAGGAGAUUGGAAUUUACGGUGUAGCAGUGAGAUGCGUAGAUAUCGUAAGGAAGACCAGUGGCGAAGGCGAAUCUCUGGACAGUUACUGACACUGAGGCACGAAGGCCAGGGGAGCAAACGGG
RNAcentral lists this ribosomal RNA (253 nucleotides) under uncultured bacterium. RNAcentral describes it as "partial 16S ribosomal RNA". It matches the Rfam family "Bacterial small subunit ribosomal RNA", at positions 524 to 776 of the family's 1533-position model. The record is from RNAcentral.